RNAcentral lists this unclassified non-coding RNA (879 nucleotides) under Leishmania donovani. RNAcentral's name for it is "gene:unknown". Lineage: Eukaryota; Euglenozoa; Kinetoplastea; Trypanosomatida; Trypanosomatidae. The record is from RNAcentral.
CAGUGAAUCACUCGAAGACAAUGGUCUUUAUUGAUAAGCUGAAGACAAUGGUGAACCGAAGCGUCGGCUUACGCGCCGGAAACGCUCUUGCCUCCUCCUCUGGAGCGUCGCCGCCUACCUUUGCGGAGGCGUGGAAUCAAGCAAAGGCAAUGACAAACAAGCUUUUCGAGGAGCGUGAGUGGCAGUGUCCGUGCGGGCACAAGUUCCGUGCUGCCGGCGAGUGGGUUGCCUGUGCGCCGAUAUACUGCGAAGUACCAUCUUGCCCCAACCCCAAAUACUACAUCGACGGCCCUGGGCGUGCCCUCCUAGAGGCAAAUCCCUCAGGUGUGAAGCUGGAGGAGGUGAACAAUACACGCGGUGGCGUCACUUCUCAGCCAGAUUCCGGCAAAAAACCCGGAGGUGUCGGCUCGCGUUUUCGAUGAGUUUUGGUUUGCUGGAAGUCCUGAGUAACUGCUUCGCUUUCAGUGCCUUAGCUAGGCUUAAACGGAAAAGGGAGGAAAAAUGACUAACUGGCACCUGUUGCUUUCUUCCGUGCAGCCGACGGACAAACUCCACACUUCUUUUUUUAUCCUGUUUCCAACAGCAAGAAAAUGAAGAGUAAGCCGUUUGUGAGAUUGAUGUACGUGCUACCUAUGCAUGUGAGUUGCAGGAAUUAUCCUCCGACUUUGAUUAAGCUAUUGCGGCUACCCUGGUAAGCGCAUGCCGCUGCUAGGUAGAUUCUAUUCAUCGCGCUCAUAACUGGAAAAGAUGCUGAUCCCUCACUUGCUUGCUGCAGGACACUAGGCGUUUCCCUUUUUUUCUCCGCUAUUCUCUUAUAUUCAAUCUGCGUUUGUGAACGUGCCCUACUUGGUUCUUGCUCUCUCGCUUCUUGCCACGCAG